AUACGGAGGAUGCGAGCGUUAUCCGGAUUUAUUGGGUUUAAAGAGUGCGCAGGCGGGCGAUUAAGUCAGCGGUGAAAGGCUCGGGCUCAACCGGAGCAGUGCCGUUGAUACUGGUUGUCUUGAAUGCGGUCAAGGCCGGCGGAAUGUGGCGUGUAGCGGGGAAAUGCAUAGAUAUGCCACAGAACACCGAUAGCGAAGGCAGCUGGCCGGGCCUGCAUUGACGCUGAGGCACGAAAGCGUGGGGAUCGAACAGGAUUAGAUACCCUGGUAGUCCACGCUGUAAACGAUGGACACUCGUUGUCGGCGACAGACAGUCGGCGGCCAAGCGAAAGUGAUAAGUGUCCCACCUGGGGAGUACGGUCGCAAGGCUGAAACUCAAAUGAAUUGACGGGG
This 393-nucleotide ribosomal RNA is filed under the name uncultured bacterium. RNAcentral's name for it is "partial 16S ribosomal RNA". It matches the Rfam family "Bacterial small subunit ribosomal RNA", at positions 523 to 918 of the family's 1533-position model. The record is from RNAcentral.